This 145-nucleotide ribosomal RNA is filed under the name Torreya nucifera (Japanese torreya). Its description in RNAcentral is "5.8S ribosomal RNA". It matches the Rfam family "5.8S ribosomal RNA". Rfam says of the family: 5.8S ribosomal RNA (5.8S rRNA) is a component of the large subunit of the eukaryotic ribosome. Lineage: Eukaryota; Viridiplantae; Streptophyta; Pinopsida; Cupressales; Taxaceae. RNAcentral also lists the same sequence under 6 other names. The record is from RNAcentral.
AACGGAUAUCUCGGCUCUCGCCACGAUGAAGAAUGUAGCGAAAUGCGAUACUUAGUGUGAAUUGCAGAAUCCCGUGAAUCAUCGAGUCUUUGAACGCAAGUUGCGCCCGAGGCCUCGGCCGAGGGCACGCCUGCUUGGGCGUCGC